GUCCUUAAACUGAGUGGAACUGCAGCUUUGGUUAAUAAACCCUUCAAGAAUGCUGGCUUAGGACAAUUCAGCUUUGGGACAUCAUAUCCAUGCCGACGGACAACAACGCUACGUUCAACUUCCAAACACCGACAAAACCUGCAUAAACGUCAGCGGACACCAAACCUCCAGAGAAAACUAUUGGCACUUUUUCAUUUGUAAUCACCGUUGCUUCAAGUAUUAACGCUACAUAAUCCGAUGCUCUUCCGGAUCUUCCUGCAUACGCUUUUCCCGCAGCUUUUACCACAUCAGUUCAACUCCGGCGAGUUGAGCCCGCUGCUGUUUUAUUGUUUGAAAUAUUUCGUCCGGUUCAACCUCAGCAACAACCACCAACAUUCCAGCUACUGAUGGUUUCAACUUCGGAACAAGAAACAUUCCUAGAGUUAUCUGUGGCUGCUACACCGGCAACGGCAGCGCCUAUUUUCGGUGUCUCCUCUGCGGCAUCGAAAUCCGAUUUUAGUUAAGUAGCACCCAUCAUUCCUCCUACUACGGCAGCUUCACUUCCAGCAUUUCCACGGUAAAGCCACAUUCUACUGUCAUUUUUGAGGGAGCAGUUGGUGUUACUAAACCAACGUUUCGUCAGGAGCAUUCUACAUAUUUUACCUUUUCGUUCGAAAAUGCCGUCACGACAGCAGCCCCAGUCGCGGCCACCAGCAGUAACGAUGCCACUGGGUUUGAAUCUUAUGUUGCCGACGGGACAUCGAUGGCUACUUGCUUCUGAGCGUCACCAAUUUUUGAUACCGACUCCGGAUCGUUAGCUACUGCCGCUAAUUCAAACGCCAUAUUUGGUAGACCCUCCAGGGUUACAUCGCCUAUUGGUGGGACCAAUUCAAAACUAGCAGCAUUAGCACAAGGAAUUCGGAGACGCAUCGUUGUUAGAAAUUGUACAUACUUCGGACUUUGGACUCUUCAAGACGUUCCGAACGAAAACAAAUCGCUGCCGUGCCAAACUGACUAUACAUAUUAACAAAACGCUCAUUAGACCGAUAGUCCUCUACGUGCCUCUACCAUUGCG
This is a long non-coding RNA of Armigeres subalbatus, 1054 nucleotides long. RefSeq lists it as uncharacterized. The record is from RefSeq and is a predicted model, not a curated record. The transcript is spliced from 3 exons. NCBI's taxonomy places the organism in Eukaryota, Metazoa, Arthropoda, Insecta, Diptera, Culicidae.